This 835-nucleotide long non-coding RNA is filed under the name Rattus norvegicus (Norway rat). RNAcentral's name for it is "long non-coding RNA NONRATT005328". Lineage: Eukaryota; Metazoa; Chordata; Mammalia; Rodentia; Muridae. The record is from RNAcentral.
UCAUGGAGAAAAGGCAGAGACUCGGCUGUGAUGGAGCCUCCCUCCUUGGUGGAUCGUCGUCUGAAACGAAGUCACAAAAGAAAAGAAAAGGGAAGAGUUCUCUGGUCCCAGGAGAACAGUGUGUAGUGAAGGCUUGGUUGGGAUGGGCUACAGUGAGGUUGCACUAACGUGGUUUUUCCAUCAUAUAUGAACAUGGUUGUCCCAGCUGAUUUCACAGCUCUCUGCUUCUGUUCCUCCCAUGAAUUUUAGUUGGCUGAUUGCGAUUCUGGCGCAGCUCAAUCCUCUGUUUGGACCACAGUUGAAAAAUGAAACCAUCUGGUAUCUGAAGUAUCACUGGCCUUGAGGAUGAAGGCAUGCUGCACAGUGCAGGCACUGAGGUCACAGCUAGAAGCCUUCUAGAUACAGAAUCACCUGCACACCGACCUCCUUCCUCGACAGCCUACUUCGGCCAUUACCUGCCUUACACUUGAAGGCCUUCCUCUGCAUACAGUAUUUUUUCUCCUUCACCUUUUUUACACUUUGAAUUAUGUGCCUGCAUAGCUGACUUUGAGAUGUGUCUCUGCACUCGACUGAGAGAAAAGGUGCUGUUCUGGGAAAUCUGUUACUCUUGUCUUGAAGCCUGCCACUUUGAAUAUGGCUCUUGCCUGCUCACAACAUGAGAGUCAGCGAUGUGUUUAAGAAUUGCUGCAAGACAAAUGAGACUCAGUGGGACAGUCAGGAGUGCCUGCUCGAGAGAAGCUCUACCCCAGCAGAUGUACACCAAACUCUAUUUUCAGGAUGAAUUUCUUACUUCUACAUCUUUUGGAAUAAAUUAUUUUUCUUCUUUCUAUGGAAA